UAGCUAGAAAAUAACUUAUUAUGUAGCCACUUAAUUUGAGUUACGAUAAUUACUAUGUUAAUUUAUAAGAUUAUAGUAACUCCAUACUAAGUGGUUUAAUAUAACAUUAUGGUAAAUAUCUCAAUGAGUUAUAGUAACUCAACUAUUAUAAAUAUGUAUUUAUAUUAUCGUAAAUUAGUAUAUAAAAUUAUCGUAAAUAGAGGUGGCUAUAAAAUAACUUAUUUUGUAGCUG
RNAcentral lists this microRNA precursor (232 nucleotides) under Sorghum bicolor (sorghum). RNAcentral describes it as "MIR6217 microRNA precursor family". It matches the Rfam family "MIR6217 microRNA precursor family". The record is from Rfam by way of RNAcentral. Lineage: Eukaryota; Viridiplantae; Streptophyta; Magnoliopsida; Poales; Poaceae.